GACGAACGCUGGCGGCAUGCCUAAUACAUGCAAGUCGAACGAUGAUAUCACUGCUUGCAGUGAUUGAUUAGUGGCGAACGGGUGAGUAACACGUGAGGAACUUGCCCAUGAGCGGGGGACAACAUUCGGAAACGGAUGCUAAUACCCCAUAGGUGGAUUGGUCGCAUGACUAAUUCAUUAAAGGUGGCUCUGCUACCACUCAUGGAUAGCCUCGCGGCGUAUUAGCUAGUUGGUAAGGUAAUGGCUUACCAAGGCAGUGAUACGUAGCCGACUUGAGAGGGUGAUCGGCCACACUGGGACUGAGACACGGCCCAGACUCCUACGGGAGGCAGCAGUAGGGAAUCUUCCACAAUGGGUGCAAACCUGAUGGAGCAAUGCCGCGUGAGUGAAGAAGGUCUUCGGAUCGUAAAGCUCUGUUGUUAGAGAAGAACACGUGCUAGGUAACUACUAGCGCCUUGACGGUAUCUAACCAGAAAGUCACGGCUAACUACGUGCCAGCCGCCGCAGUAAAC
Molecule: ribosomal RNA, 512 nt
Filed under: uncultured bacterium
Lineage: Bacteria
Description: bacterial SSU rRNA
Rfam family: Bacterial small subunit ribosomal RNA
Source: RNAcentral